This 636-nucleotide ribosomal RNA is filed under the name uncultured bacterium. RNAcentral's name for it is "bacterial SSU rRNA". It matches the Rfam family "Bacterial small subunit ribosomal RNA", at positions 607 to 1244 of the family's 1533-position model. The record is from RNAcentral.
GCUCAACCGGGGAGGGUCAUUGGAAACUGGGGAACUUGAGUGCAGAAGAGGAGAGUGGAAUUCCACGUGUAGCGGUGAAAUGCGUAGAGAUGUGGAGGAACACCAGUGGCGAAGGCGACUCUCUGGUCUGUAACUGACGCUGAGGCGCGAAAGCGUGGGGAGCGAACAGGAUUAGAUACCCUGGUAGUCCACGCCGUAAACGAUGAGUGCUAAGUGUUAGAGGGUUUCCGCCCUUUAGUGCUGCAGCAAACGCAUUAAGCACUCCGCCUGGGGAGUACGGUCGCAAGACUGAAACUCAAAGGAAUUGACGGGGGCCCGCACAAGCGGUGGAGCAUGUGGUUUAAUUCGAAGCAACGCGAAGAACCUUACCAGGUCUUGACAUCCUCUGACAACCCUAGAGAUAGGGCUUCCCCUUCGGGGGCAGAGUGACAGGUGGUGCAUGGUUGUCGUCAGCUCGUGUCGUGAGAUGUUGGGUUAAGUCCCGCAACGAGCGCAACCCUUGAUCUUAGUUGCCAGCAUUCAGUUGGGCACUCUAAGGUGACUGCCGGUGACAAACCGGAGGAAGGUGGGGAUGACGUCAAAUCAUCACGCCCCUUAUGACCUGGCUACACACGUGCUACAAUGGGCAGAACAAAG